AUGGGCCGCGCGUUCGCGUACGUGAUCCUGGGCGGCGGCGUGGCCGCGGGCUACGCGGCGCUCGAGUUCGCCCGCCGCCGCGCCGGCGCCUCCCCCGGCGAGCUCUGCAUCAUCUCCGACGAGGCCGUCGCUCCUUACGAACGCCCUGCACUAAGCAAGGGCUAUCUGCUCCCACAAGGCGCUGCUCGUCUCCCGGCGUUUCAUACCUGCGCUGGUGCUAACGAUGAGGUGCUCACGGAGCAAUGGUACAAAGAUCACGGUAUCGAACUUGUUCUUGCGACGAGGGUGAUCUCCGCCGAUGUCCGGCGGAAGACGCUGCUCACAGACUCCGGGGAAACCAUCGGCUACAAAACCCUCAUCGUAGCGACAGGCGCCCGGGAGGAAAGGAUGAACGAGGGAAGACUUUAUCUGCAAAUGUGGAGAGGAGUGCGGGCCUCGGAGCUGGAGGAAUUUGGAGUUCGCGGUUCGGACGCGGCCAACGUGUGCUACCUGCGCAGCCUCGAGGAUGCCGAUAAAAUGGUGGGGGUGAUGAAACCGUGCCAUGGUGGAAACGCUGUUGUCAUCGGUGGUGGUUACAUAGGAAUGGAGUGCGCGGCGGCCUUGGUUGCCAAUGAGAUCAAGGUCACCAUGGUCUUCCCGGGAAAACACUGCAUGGGUCGUCUUUUUACACCGAAGAUCGCUGAAUUUUAUGAGAAGUACUACGCUGCAAAAGGGGUUGUUUUCGUCAAAGGAACUGCGGUUAAAUCCUUGGAGGUCUCAGAUGGGAAGGUGGCUGCGGCGAUCCUGCGAGACGGCAGGCGGCUUCCCGCGGACAUGGUGGUCGUCGGCAUCGGCGCUCGCGCCAACACCGGCCUCUUCGACGGCCAGCUGGCCAUGGAGAGGGGCGGGAUCAAGGUGAACGGGCGGAUGCAGACGAGCGACGCCGCCGUGUACGCCGUGGGCGACGUGGCCGCGUUCCCCGUCGCGCUCCUGGGCGGCGACGUGCGCCGCUUCGAGCACGUCGACUGCGCGCGCAGGACCGCGCGGCGGGCCAUCGAGGCGAUCUUGGAGCCCUCCGGCGGCGCCGCGGAGGAGGGGAAAGCCUUCGGCUACCUGCCGUACUUCUACUCCAGGGUCUUCGCCCUGUCCUGGCAGUUCUACGGCGACAACGCCGGAGAAGCCGUCCACUUCGGGGACUUCUCGCCGCCGGUGGCCGGGGGAAAGCCAAAGUUCGGGGCCUGCUGGGUCAGCGGAGGCCGGGUCGCCGGCGCCUUCAUCGAAGGCGGGAGCCCGGAGGAGAACGAGGCGAUGGCGAGCGCCGUGCGCAGCCGGGCGGCGAUCGCGGACCUGGCCGCCGAACUCGGGAGCCGCGGCCUCGGGUUCGCCGAUGAGGAGAGCCGCCGGAAGGGGGUGCGUCGGGGUGCGCUCGCCGCCGGCGACAGGCCUACCUAUGCGCGGCACGCCACGGUCGGGGUCGCUGCGGCGGUGUCCAUCGCGGCGUUCGCGUACUGGUACGGCUGGAUGGCGCCGUACGUGGUGAAACGUGAUUUCUCCGACCCUAAGUUAUGA
This 1548-nucleotide ribosomal RNA is filed under the name Triticum aestivum (bread wheat). RNAcentral describes it as "partial small subunit ribosomal RNA". Lineage: Eukaryota; Viridiplantae; Streptophyta; Magnoliopsida; Poales; Poaceae. The record is from RNAcentral.